UACAGAGGGUGCGAGCGUUAAUCGGAAUUACUGGGCGUAAAGCGCGCGUAGGCGGCUUUGCAAGUCGGGUGUGAAAUCCCCAGGCUUAACCUGGGAACUGCAUUCGAGACUGCAUUGCUAGAGUAUGGGAGAGGGAAGUGGAAUUUCCGGUGUAGCGGUGGAAUGCGUAGAUAUGUGGAGGAACACCAGUGGCGAAGGCGACUCUUUGGUCUGUAACUGACGCUGAGGCGCGAAAGCGUGGGGAGCAAACAGG
RNAcentral lists this ribosomal RNA (253 nucleotides) under uncultured bacterium. Its description in RNAcentral is "partial 16S ribosomal RNA". It matches the Rfam family "Bacterial small subunit ribosomal RNA", at positions 524 to 776 of the family's 1533-position model. The record is from RNAcentral.